ACAGCCUUGAUCAGUUAUUUAUUAUUCUGAUUAAUGUUUGCUACAGCAAUAGUGCUACGUGACAACAGCUGAGAUUCAGGUCCUGUUGUAUACAAGGACUGAUAUAAAUGAACAAUAAGAAACAGACUUUGCACUAAAUGAAUUAUGAAUUGAGUAGAGAACACAGGUGAAAAAGUAUAGAGACUUCCAAAGCUGGCAAUAUAAUCUUUAUGGGUCGUGGACUUGUUUAACUCCCUGUGUAUAGAAACAUCAGAACAUUUACCUGUUUUUCCAAUGGAAAUGAUCAUUCACCCAUCUCUAUUUUUUUUUUCAUUGUAAAAAAGAAGUCCCAAAAGAAAAUGCAGUAGUUGGAAAACUGAUGCCAAUAAAAAUUCCAUGUUCAUUUCAAGCACAUUUAUACUACUACCAUGUUGACGUCAGCUAAGAAGCUUGUUUUUGGCUCUGUCAUAGAGAGUGGAAAAUAUGCUUAUGCACAGCAGUGUGAUUAGGGAACAUCAGCUGGCUCGUUUAGUUUUCUGCAUUUGAAUGGGUUGAAUUACGCCCACUACACUACUGAUACUUUGGACUAGAACCUGGCUCAUUACAAAAGGAGCCCAGGAUGGCUAGCUUCAAUGGAGAUGUCCAAAUUGAAUGUCAACCCCACGUGAUGAACCCCAUUCUCCUCUCCUUAACACCUGUCAUGUGGUGGCUUCCCACCAGAAAUCCAAUCACCUACCAACAGAAGCACUGACAGCAUGGAUGUCUCAGGGAAGAGGCUUUGCUCCGUAGAUGACAUUUUCUCCCUGUUGACUAUUUGCAAACAAACUUUCUCGCAGAGAGUCGGGGCACAGAGGACAAAAAGCGUUUUGAGCAGCUGAGUGGCGGCAGAAGUGCAGUAGAGGGAGGAAGGAAUGGGAAAGCACUGGAACAGUUGGCCUUGAUUCCGUCACUAUCCAGCAAUUGGAGCCAUGCACUAAGAAGGAACAGAACAUCAUCACAUGUAGCCAGCUGGGUGCUGUCUCAGAAAGUCAAUCUGCAGAGGAAUAACUGGAGCCCUAUCCCAGGUCAUGACAAAAACCUACUUUCUGAAUGCAUAUCUUCUGCUGACAUUAUUAAUCAGACUGGCAUCAGGCGGUACAUAUGAAGAGAAUACAGUAAUCAAACUGCUUUUAGCUGAGUUUACAUUUUAUGUACAGGUCACGAACAGAAGGGUUUGAGAAAAUCAUGCAGGUGUAGCUGCAAAAAGCAAGCCUGUGUGGUGGUUGCUGGCUGUUAUUCUUGGGGAGGUUUGUGUAAAAGGACUCCUAGGGUUCAAUCCUAGGUUCUCAGCAGGGAUUCCGGUUUCAUAUUAAGGCAGAGAAAUGUGGAUGUCUAGAAACAAGCACAAAAUUUAGAGAAUUCUUCAGUUCAAUUUGUAUGAGGUUUAUUCAUAUGCCCAUGUAGGGUUAUCUUCUGUCCUUUCAGUUGGCAUGCAGCUUCUAGAAAGAAGUCCAGCCAUUACUUUUAAAAGCACGGGUUUCAUACAGGUCAUGGGAUGCAUCUAAUAACUUGAUUCAGACAUCCCAGCUACCCAAAGCAUCUGAAAUAGUCGUAGAUGUUUCCACCACAGGAAAAUGAAUUAAGCCAAUUUACUUGGCCAGGUAAACAUCUCCCUAGACUCUGCUGGUUAUAUCUCAAUUGGCUGCAAUGAGAAUUUAGAAACCUUAAGAUUUGUGUAAACAAAGGCAUCUCCUUUUCUUUCAUGUGACAAAUGCAAUUAUAGUAAUGGCACAGGACUUGUACUGUCCUUGUGCUCUUGUGUGCUGAAGUAUUAAGCAAAUCUCCAGACACUUUUGACAGUAUAGGCUAGCUCAAGAAUGGUUAUGACAGACAUUUUAACAGCUGCUUUGUGCAGUAUGAAAACUUUAAAAGCCAUAUAAAAAAGCAAACAAACACCCUAAGCAUUCUUCUUAUAAACAAUAUAGAAAGAGAAUGAUUCUAGAGGGUAGUCCAUCUCACAAAGGCCUGGUUGUACAGAAAUUACAGAGAGCUUGAGAUCUCAUUCCAUAUUUUCCAAUGAAAUGUUAAAGGUAGGGGGAAUUAACAGAGACCUUGAACUCUCAGAGCCCUCUGACUAAAAAAAUGAGAAUAGAUUUUAUCGUGAU
This is a long non-coding RNA of Numida meleagris (helmeted guineafowl), 2123 nucleotides long. Lineage: Eukaryota; Metazoa; Chordata; Aves; Galliformes; Numididae. The record is from Ensembl.